GACAAUCAACAGCCAGCGCCCCGACUUUCGUUUCGCUGUGGCGUAUUUUGUUUUUAUCCACCGCUUGGUUCACGAAUUUUACCUAUAUUUGAGUGGAAUUUACGCCAAAAUCUAUCGGCUAUAAGAUAAUAAGGUGAUGCCGGUAAGAUUUUGAUUUCUCUACCUGAUCAUUGAGGGUGGAUAAGUGGCAGGAGAAUUAGUAAUGGGAUGAUAAACUAAAGAAAAUGGGGAUCGACGAAGGACCAUUCGACCCCUGGCAGGUGACGCAGAUGGCAAGCAGAUAAGUUUGACAUUAACAGACCUGAUCAAGCCGCGAUAACAGACAAACAUGACUCACCACGAAAGUAUUCCUGUCCCUUGAGUGAUUGUCACAUAUAGCGGAAACUCCUGACCACAGCAUGACUUGUAAAACGAUCUACAUAAUUGGUCGACGGUGACAACCCAGACAGGAAAAAUGCUAAACAAUGCCAUGGCGCAUUAUGAAAACGUUUGUUUGCCCAACACUCCACGCAAGAUUAUUCCAGAUGAUUUCUUGACACAAACACAAGUUACUCCGACGUCGCGAACCUUGUCAACCCCAAAAAUCCCAAAGACUGAUUUGCGGCCUUAUCUCACUGUGUUGCUAGUGGUCCGCUAUCAAACCUUUUCAACYCCCMAAAUCCCAACGUUAUUUUCUGGRUGAUUUGAGUUUGUAUUUUGACUUCGUAAAUCUUCACAAGCAUAGUCGGACCACCGAAUGAAAUAUCUGAGUAAAAGAUCUUUGGAAAGGACGAGGUCUAUGAAAUUCAAGGGAAAUCAGCUCAGGUUUUAGGGGUUGAACGACUCUUGGACACUGCUUCAAUCCCAUGGUGUGGUCUCUCAAGUGCCUCUUCCUGACAUUCUCAAACGACGAAGUGAUCCCGUUUUUGUCCAAGUGUAACACAGGAAAAUUGAAAGAUAAGGAGAACUCCAUGUCAAGUGUUUGAAUGUAUGCAGGUGUCUGCAGAUCACUCUAUUUAAUAAAGUGAGGUCUUCCGUUGAUCCAAGCAKUGGGCUAUUGGCAUACACUAGGGGUACAAGGCGAUUGUACGGUUAUGUGGUCCCUGUAAGUGGCAGCCAUUCACGGAUCAUAGCCCUGUAUCAUYUCGUCGCUUCGCGAGUUCUCAGUUCGCUCAUUACAACGUGUAACAUUCACUAAAAGGAAUAAAAUUGAAACUAUUCUGA
Exaiptasia diaphana is the source of this 1203-nucleotide long non-coding RNA. RefSeq lists it as uncharacterized. The record is from RefSeq and is a predicted model, not a curated record. The transcript is spliced from 2 exons. Lineage: Eukaryota; Metazoa; Cnidaria; Anthozoa; Actiniaria; Aiptasiidae.